This 322-nucleotide RNase P RNA is filed under the name Candidatus Parcubacteria bacterium. Its description in RNAcentral is "RNase P RNA component class A". It matches the Rfam family "Bacterial RNase P class A". Rfam says of the family: Ribonuclease P (RNase P) is a ubiquitous endoribonuclease, found in archaea, bacteria and eukarya as well as chloroplasts and mitochondria. Its best characterised activity is the generation of mature 5'-ends of tRNAs by cleaving the 5'-leader elements of precursor-tRNAs. The record is from RNAcentral. Lineage: Bacteria; Candidatus Parcubacteria.
GGAUGCCGGAUAGCUGCUCCCGCGGCGGGAACGCCGCGAGGGGAGGAAAGUCCGAACAUUCGGUCGCCUGUGCAUGCAUAUGCGUGCAGGCGACACGGGUAGCAGGUAACGCCUGCCGGGAGUAAUCCUAGAAGUGAGAACAGAAACGACCCUAUUAAGUUAGGCUGAAACGGCAAAAUCUUUACCUGAAUGCAAGGCCGUGUCCCGCAGCAAUGCGGGAAGUGCCGCUCGAGGUCCCGAGCGAUCGGGAUCCCAGACAAAUAGCUGUCCGGUGCGUAGCACAACUACUCACUGACAGAAUUCGGCUUACAGGCAUCCACAU